CCUACGGGAGACAGCAGUGAGGAAUAUUGGUCAAUGGCCGAGAGGCUGAACCAGCCAAGUAGCGUGAAGGAUGACUGCCCUAUGGGUUAUAAACUUCUUUUAUAUGGGAAUAAAAUGUUCCACGUGUGGGAUUUUGUCUGUACCUUAUGAAUAAGCAUCGGCUAACUCCGUGCCAGCAGCCGCGGUAAUACGGAGGAUCCGAGCGUUAUCCGGAUUUAUUGGGUUUAAAGGGUGCGUAGGUGGAUUUUUAAGUCAGUUGUGAAAGUUUGGGGCUCAACCGUAAAAUUGCAGUUGAUACUGUCAGACUCGAGUACAGUAGAGGUAGGCGGAAUGUGUGGUGUAGCGGUGAAAUGCUUAGAUAUUACGAAGAACUCCGAUUGCGAAGGCAGCUUACUAGACUGCGACUGACACUGAGGCACGAAAGCGUGGGUAUCAAACAGGAUUAGAUACCCCAGUAGUC
Molecule: ribosomal RNA, 460 nt
Filed under: uncultured bacterium
Lineage: Bacteria
Description: partial 16S ribosomal RNA
Rfam family: Bacterial small subunit ribosomal RNA
Source: RNAcentral